This 814-nucleotide long non-coding RNA is filed under the name Marmota monax (woodchuck). The record is from RNAcentral. Lineage: Eukaryota; Metazoa; Chordata; Mammalia; Rodentia; Sciuridae.
CCCAGGAGUGCAUGACCACUGAGCCACACCCCCAGACCUUUUUUUUUCUAUUUUAUUUAGAGACAGGGUCUCACUGAGAUGUUUAGGGCCUCACUAAGUUGCUGAGGGUGUCUUUGAACUUGCGAUCCUCCUUCCUCAGCCUCCUGAGCCACUGGGGUUACAGGCAUGCGCCAGCUGUUCAGACUCUGGGUUGACUCGGGCUUGGAGUGGGUCACCAGGAACCCCCUGGGUUUCCUUUGUCACAGAUUAAGCCUUGACAAGCCUGUAGGCUUUUCCCGUUCCCCUAUUGUACUCUCUGUGCUCCAAGGUGCUCAGCAAGUUUCUUUGGCCACAGAAGCCGGGCAUUUUUGUCCUUUCCCGUAAACUCCUCUGGGAAGAGGACGUUAAGGUCUAACGGGCUCUAACUGUCCUCCUUACCCUCCGGAGAUUCCUGUAGCCCACGGAGCAGAGCAAUGUACCCCAUCAUAGGUUUUUUCGUGGGUCAUCACAUUUGGAAGUUGAUACUGGCAGGAAAGGUCAGCAAUGCCUGUAAGUCUGAAUUCUCCCAGGUCUUUGGCACCGGGCAAAGCAGAGGCCUAGCAUGUGCCAAUGGAGCCAGCAUCGGGAUUGGGCAGAUCAUGUGGUGAGAGUCCAUGUGCUGGGUCCUCAGAAGCUCCUAGGAGGGCCACUGUGGCGAGCCUUAUGGGGAGACGUCCCCACACCAAAGAGACAGCUCCUCGGGGCCGACAACCACAGGCCCUGUUGCCUUUUGCUUGGUUCCUGUGUUCGUGAGGUGGUCGGAAGGAGCUUCAUCCUCAAAAGUUAUGCCAGGUUC